RNAcentral lists this transfer RNA (73 nucleotides) under Conexibacter woesei DSM 14684. Its description in RNAcentral is "tRNA-Thr (TGT) (tRNA-Thr-TGT-1-1)". It matches the Rfam family "tRNA". From Rfam's summary of the family: Transfer RNA (tRNA) molecules are approximately 80 nucleotides in length. Their secondary structure includes four short double-helical elements and three loops (D, anti-codon, and T loops). The record is from Rfam by way of RNAcentral. RNAcentral also lists the same sequence under 1 other name. Lineage: Bacteria; Bacillati; Actinomycetota; Thermoleophilia; Solirubrobacterales; Conexibacteraceae.
GCCCGAGUAGCUCAGCUGGUAGAGCACCUGUCUUGUAAACAGGGGGUCAGGGGUUCGAGUCCCCUCUCGGGCU